ACUCUGACACCAUCAACCGCCAUACUUUGCACUGCAUGGGAUUUACUAAGAUUGAUGGUGGUUGGACUAAAGGUGUAGAAGAGAGAGCUGAGGACAGAGCUGAGGAGGAAGGUCCUUCAUCACCUCUCCAUGAUCACAGGGCUGUAUCUCCAGACAUUCAGUUUGUUUCGGAUCACGAGGCUGGCCCAUAAAAAUCUACGAGGAGGCACACUCUAGUCUAGCAGCC
This 226-nucleotide long non-coding RNA is filed under the name Elaeis guineensis (African oil palm). RNAcentral's name for it is "long non-coding RNA (EGUI_LNC053519)". The record is from RNAcentral. Lineage: Eukaryota; Viridiplantae; Streptophyta; Magnoliopsida; Arecales; Arecaceae.